This 2106-nucleotide long non-coding RNA is filed under the name Sus scrofa (pig). RNAcentral describes it as "lncRNA (ENSSSCG00055018085.1)". The record is from RNAcentral. Lineage: Eukaryota; Metazoa; Chordata; Mammalia; Artiodactyla; Suidae.
GGUCAGGCCGACACACCAGAGGAGCCUCUGGGCCCUGGAAGGGGAGCCGCGAGGGGGGCCCCCAGGACAGAUACGCGCUCUUGCAAGAGUGCCUUCCAGAGCCCGGCUGUGUGGCCCCUGAUUUUACACGCAGGGCGCGCCGUCUGUGCUCAUGGUCUCUUUCACCACAUUUGCAGAAGCGGGGGGACCCAACAGUGUCAGGUGCCCCAGCCCCGGGGACCCCAGCGCAGGGGAUGCCCUUUGCGCCGCAGCGGCCGCGGUCACCUGUCUCCGGCCCAGCACGGUUUCCCGCCUCCGCCUCUCCCACCUGCUCCCCCGGGUCCCGGCCCCUUCUCUGCUGGCAGCGCCGACUCUGCGUGGCUACGACGAGCCUGUGCUGCGUGUUCCUCUGAAUGCGGAGUUGUUUUCUUGGCCUCCAAUUCUGCGGACUGGAAAACAGCAUAUAGCCCGAGGCCACCUGAAUGAUGCUGGUGUCACGUGUUAAAAAACAUAUUUGUUCGGUGCCCUCCAAGGACAAAUGACAGGCAUGUAAAAACGUUUCUCCGCUUUUCUUUCAGGGAAUACUUAGUUCAGAAUUACCUUCUGUCAAGGAAACACUGCUUCCACGUCCGUCCGUGUUAUUUCCCAGGGCUUCUGUCUUCCAGGGAAAUGCUGCCUGCUGCGUGACACGCGCGAUUACAUGUUUACAGAACCUGUUUAUACGUCUGCUGCUAUGACUGUUUCUCUUUAGAAAAGCCACUCAUUAGAACCAAACAGAGGCUUUCGUUUGGGAGAAACAAGUAAAUGUGGGGAGCGGGUUACCCCCAGCGGAGCCGGCCUGAUUUGUCCGGGUGUCUGGGGACCACGGGCCCCAGGGCUGAGCGGCGGAGCCCAGCCCUGGAACCUCAUGCCCUCCUGGGAAAAGGCACCCAGCUGACACCCACAGGCAUGCACACGGCUGCUCCACAUGGAAGCACGUGUCCACAUGCACUCACACGCACACACCGGCACUUAGCCCUCACGCAUGUGCCACGGCCCGUGUGCAUGUGCAUCCACACCAGACACGUUCACACGCGUGCACCUGCUCGGAGCCCACCCUCCCGAGCUCAUUUAACCCCAGCUACCUCUUAAAGGCCUGUCUCCAGUGGGCUCACGGUGGGGUUAGGGCUUCGACCUGUGGGUGUGUGGGGAGGGCACGCAGCUCAGCCCUUGGCGUCGUCCUUUCCAGUUCGGUGAACAGAGCAGGGGACACCGCAGGACACGUGCACAUGAGCUCUGAGAGAAGAAAGGGUUCCCGCCCUCCUGCCUGAGCUCAUGCCCCCACUGAGCACGCGUCCAGCUGAGUGUCCUGACUUCCUUCUGUCGCCUGCUUGGCAAGACCUGUGCUCCCGGGGGCUCUGCGUCCCCGGCUGUCCGGGAGCAUCCGGGAGCGGGGAUCCGGGUGCUCAGAGGCUGGGGGCAGUCCUGACAGAUGCGCUGCCCGCCUUGUCCUGUCCGGCCACGUCCAUCGGGGGGGUUCCGGGAGGAGAAGGGCCAGAGGAAAGAAGAGAAAGGGGGGCUGGGCCAGAGGUGCCUUGCCCGCCCAGUUGCCACAGCCGUUGCAAUAAAUCCCAGGGAAAGAACUGGGCCUCCUUCAGGGCUUUGGAGGUGGAGACCCUGGGGGAUAAAGCCCCACCCGACCCCGAGGCCUGGUGUUGAUGGGAACAAAAGAUUGUGCGGGCCUGGCAGCUGCUAGAGAAGGGGCAGCUGCCGGAUCUGGAAGCCCUGUUCUCAAAAGACCCCUGCAGAGAAAGGCGGUAACGUGGCCGGGAAGAGGGGGAUGCCAGGCAGCGAGACUCCAGUCCUGCAGCCCUGGCCUCCACCGCGUCACUGACCAGCACCCCAGACACUCGGGAUGCAGGCCAGCUUCUAACCUGAUGGCCGUCAGGCUCCAGGCUCCAGACCACCCCCCCACCGUCCCCGCCUCUCACCCCUCCCUCGGGCUCACCCUCAUCGCUCUUCCAGAAAGAGCCCCCCACAUAGCUCAGAAGAGAGGGGGCCUCUAAACUGCUCUCUGCUGAGACCGUGUAACCGGAGACCAGCUCAGACCGUAUUUUCACUUUUUGGACUAAGGUGGAUCAUCUGAUG